GUUAUAGGGUCAAGUGAAUAAGAGCAUGUGGUGGAUGCCUUGGCGAUGAUAGGCGACGAAGGACGUGAUAGCCUGCGAUAAGCUUCGGGGAGCUGGCAAAUAAGCUUUGAUCCGGAGAUUUCCGAAUGGGGAAACCCACCGAAAGGUAUCGUUAACUGAAUUCAUAGGUUAACGAGGCGAACCGGGUGAACUGAAACAUCUCAGUAGCUCGAGGAAAAGACAUCAACCGAGAUUCCGAAAGUAGUGGCGAGCGAAAUCGGAACCAUAGUGGGUGAUAGCCCCGUAUGUGAAAAGAUCUGUGUGGUACUGAGCUAGCGAAAAGUAGGGCGGGACACGUGUAAUCCUGUCUGAACAUGGGGGGACCAUCCUCCAAGGCUAAAUACUCAUCAUCGACCGAUAGUGAACUAGUACCGUGAGGGAAAGGCGAAAAGAACCCCGGGAGGGGAGUGAAAUAGAUCCUGAAACCGCAUGCUUACAAAAAGUCGGAGCCCGCAAGGGUGACGGCGUACCUUUUGUAUAAUGGGUCAGCGACUUACAUUCAGUGGCAAGGUUAACCGAAUAGGGAAGCCGUAGAGAAAUCGAGUCCGAAUAGGGCGUUCAGUCGCUGGGUGUAGACCCGAAACCAAGUGAUCUAUCCAUGGCCAGGAUGAAGGUGCCGUAACAGGUACUGGAGGUCCGAACCGACUAGUGUUGCAAAACUAGCGGAUGAGCUGUGGAUAGGGGUGAAAGGCUAAACAAACUUGGAAAUAGCUGGUUCUCUCCGAAAACUAUUUAGGUAGUGCCUCAAGUAUUACCUUCGGGGGUAGAGCACUGUUUUGGCUAGGGGGUCAUGGCGACUUACCAAACCAAGGCAAACUCCGAAUACCGAAGAGUACAGCUUGGGAGACAGAGCACCGGGUGCUAACGUCCGGACUCAAGAGGGAAACAACCCAGACCGCCAGCUAAGGUC
RNAcentral lists this ribosomal RNA (949 nucleotides) under Brevundimonas sp. Its description in RNAcentral is "bacterial LSU rRNA". It matches the Rfam family "Bacterial large subunit ribosomal RNA", at positions 1 to 1046 of the family's 2925-position model. The record is from RNAcentral. Lineage: Bacteria; Pseudomonadati; Pseudomonadota; Alphaproteobacteria; Caulobacterales; Caulobacteraceae.